Molecule: ribosomal RNA, 497 nt
Filed under: uncultured bacterium
Lineage: Bacteria
Description: partial 16S ribosomal RNA
Rfam family: Bacterial small subunit ribosomal RNA
Source: RNAcentral
GAUGAACGCUGGCGGCGUGCCUAAUACAUGCGAGUCGAGCGAACAGACGAGGAGCUUGCUCCUCUGACGUUAGCGGCGGACGGGUGAGUAACACGUGGAUAACCUACCUAUAAGACUGGGAUAACUUCGGGAAACCGGAGCUAAUACCGGAUAACAUGUUGAACCGCAUGGUUCAACAGUGAAAGACGGUUUUGCUGUCACUUAUAGAUGGAUCCGCGUCGCAUUAGCUAGUUGGUAAGGUAACGGCUUACCAAGGCAACGAUGCGUAGCCGACCUGAGAGGGUGAUCGGCCACACUGGAACUGAGACACGGUCCAGACUCCUACGGGAGGCAGCAGUAGGGAAUCUUCCGCAAUGGGCGAAAGCCUGACGGAGCAACGCCGCGUGAGUGAAGAAGGUCUUCGGAUCGUAAAACUCUGUUAUUAGGGAAGAACAAAUGUGUAAGUAACUAUGCACGUCUUGACGGUACCUAAUCAGAAAGCCACGGCUAACUACGUG